Megalopta genalis is the source of this 1950-nucleotide long non-coding RNA. RefSeq lists it as uncharacterized. The record is from RefSeq and is a predicted model, not a curated record. Lineage: Eukaryota; Metazoa; Arthropoda; Insecta; Hymenoptera; Halictidae.
CUGAGCUCGGUAUUCGACAGCCAAUGUUUUUCCUUUACUAGUCGCUAGCAUCGAUCGCGCGAGCGAGCGAUCUGUUUACAUUUACCACCGGCUCGCCUCGUUAGACGACCUAUGAUUGAAAAAGUAAGUCGCCGUUGCGAUAUGCGCCAGCAUUUGAAACGUAACUGAUGAUCGCAUGUCGAAGAUCGUCCGCGUCGAAGGAAACGAAAAGACUCGAAACUCCUGAAAUCGAUUCGCUCGACGAAUAGAACAGAAAAAGCCAGUUUUGCAGAGUGAAACGGUUAUACCCGAAGCUGGUCAAGUAAUUUGUCGAUAGCUCGAAUACAUCAAGAAUAGAGUGGCACAGAGGACUACAUGCGACGGGAACAUCGACUGGAAUUUCAACUAUACAGGAAGAGUACAUAAUCUGGGAGGACAACAGUCGGGGAGUCUAGGCGGAGCACUGGUCGGAAACUUGAAUCACGAAUUAAAUCAUCGACUAGUUGCAAGCUGCGGUUAGGUUUUGUUGGUACACUCGUCCGUGCUCUUGCCCUCCUCCCCGUUAGCGGGUGGAAUCGACGGUUCGGUAUUCCGUCGCUUGAUCUUAUUUUUCUUCAACAUGGUUGCCUGGAGCGAACAAAGGAACAAGGAGAUACAUAUUAGUCAGAGAGUGCGAUGAGGGGAGGACUGCAUGCGUUGCCGAACACCAGCAGUUACGGGUUUACGGAAUAGCAGUUUCAUAUGGAGCAUCGCGUAAACAGCGUAAUGAUAAGUCAGAUUUAGGCGGCUAGGUACAUACAGAUGCUCCGGCAGAGAGUGAACGUGCGACAAAUAUGUAGAUGGCCCCAUCAUUCUACAUGAAAUCGAACAGCAUGAGUGAAUUAUCGACGAACAAGGUCCGAAGGUGUAUCAAUUUCAUUAAAUCACUGUUAACCCUUUGCACUUGAAGUCUGUCCUUUUGACAUCAAUCGUACAGAGUGUUUAGCGAUGCGUGACACGUUUCCACGUACAUAAAUUAGGCUGUAAGAUAGUAAACUCGGCAUUGUUACCGAACAGAUUUCUAUAAACGGUGGGCGAAGUAAAAUGUUACUAAUUGCAAUUUUACAAUGCAUAUAUUGAAAACAUCGACCUGAUGUGGCGUUUGUCAACGAAAGUUUGCAAAAUUAAUUUUAUAGUAUACAACAAAUUUUCUUGGGGCAACUGCUGCGAGGAGAAGGGAGGUGUUCAACAUUCUUUUUAAACGGGUAUAUCAAGUUUUUAUUGCCGCAGUGAUCGACGAAUUAUAGCGAAUAAAUUGUUCGAUGAGAAAUUUUACAAGGAAACUGAAAGAUAGCAAGAAAGAACUAAAAAUAAUAAUGAAUGUUAUUAACUCGCCCGAGGUUAAUAACGUGUCAACAUUCACAUCAAGAGAGAAAUUAAUCUUCUUAAAUAUAUCAUUUACCAGGAAGAUUAGCAAAUAGUGAAACGUGUGUUCAUCGUUUUCGAAAAUCUAAACAAAGAUAACAUCGUUCACGGAAGUCUAAAUGUUUGUAAACCGAGUCGAAAUUGUUUAAUAUGCACAAUAAAGGAAACAAUGAGAGAUAUUACGAUAACAAAACGUUAGUGACCCCUUACUCGUUACAUUUAAAAAUGUGUUGGCGGCUUCUCCUUUUAUUCACAGCAAUUGUCUCGAAAAAAUAUAUUGCUACUGAAAGAUUAUUACUAAGAGAUAACCUCCUCGCAACAUUUCAUUAAAAAAUAUUAUCUAAAUCUUUUUGAAUGGCACAGAUAUCGAAAUUUUGUCAAGCUCACCUGUACAUAUUUCUUGUAUCCUUUUUUUGAUUUCUUAAAUUUAAACAGUUUAGCAACAAUUUAAGCUUUUCUUUUAUCACUUUUUUUACAAUUUUAAAAUGGUUUGUAAAUUUAUUGCAGUUUGAAAAUCUGUUCGCUUUUCUGAUUGAAAUUUAAAAUAAAGAUGCCUAAACGUCCAAA